UACAGAGGUCCCAAGCGUUGUUCGGAUUCACUGGGCGUAAAGGGUGCGUAGGCGGUUGGGUAAGUCUGAUGUGAAAUCUCACAGCUUAACUGUGAAACUGCAUUGGAUACUAUUCGGCUUGAGAGUUGGAGGGGGGACUGGAAUUCUUGGUGUAGCAGUGAAAUUCGUAGAUAUUCGCAAGAACACCAGUGGCGAAGGCGGCUCACUGGCCCGGAACUGACGCUGAGACGCGAAAGCGUGGGGAGCAAACAGG
RNAcentral lists this ribosomal RNA (253 nucleotides) under uncultured bacterium. RNAcentral's name for it is "partial 16S ribosomal RNA". It matches the Rfam family "Bacterial small subunit ribosomal RNA", at positions 524 to 776 of the family's 1533-position model. The record is from RNAcentral.